GACGGGGGGAGCAAGCGUUGUUCGGAUUUACUGGGCGUAAAGGGCGUCUAGGCGGGUUGGCAAGUCAGAUGUGAAAUCCCCCGGCUCAACCGGGGAGCUGCAUUUGAUACUGCCAAUCUUGAGUACGGAAGAGGAAAGCGGAAUUCCAGGUGUAGCGGUGAAACGCGUAGAUAUCUGGAAGAACACCGGUGGCGAAGGCGGCUUUCUGGUCCGAUACUGACGCUGAAGCGCGAAAGUGUGGGGAGCGAACAGG
RNAcentral lists this ribosomal RNA (253 nucleotides) under uncultured bacterium. RNAcentral describes it as "partial 16S ribosomal RNA". It matches the Rfam family "Bacterial small subunit ribosomal RNA", at positions 524 to 776 of the family's 1533-position model. The record is from RNAcentral.